Molecule: ribosomal RNA, 305 nt
Filed under: uncultured bacterium
Lineage: Bacteria
Description: bacterial SSU rRNA
Rfam family: Bacterial small subunit ribosomal RNA
Source: RNAcentral
ACCUACGGGGCGCAGCAGUAGGGAAUCUUCCACAAUGGACGAAAGUCUGAUGGAGCAACGCCGCGUGAGUGAAGAAGGGCUUCGGCUCGUAAAGCUCUGUUGGUAGUGAAGAAAGAUAGAGGUAGUAACUGGCCUUUAUUUGACGGUAAUUACUUAGAAAGUCACGGCUAACUACGUGCCAGCAGCCGCGGUAAUACGUAGGUGGCAAGCGUUGUCCGGAUUUAUUGGGCGUAAAGCGAGUGCAGGCGGUUCAAUAAGUCUGAUGUGAAAGCCUUCGGCCCCACCGGGGAAUUUCAUCAGAAAAU